UCCCUGGAGAACUAGUGGUUAGGCCAUAGCGCGCUCACCACUGCGGUUAGGGGUUCAAUUCCUGGCCAGGGAA
Molecule: transfer RNA, 73 nt
Filed under: Pangasianodon hypophthalmus (striped catfish)
Lineage: Eukaryota; Metazoa; Chordata; Actinopteri; Siluriformes; Pangasiidae
Description: tRNA-Glu
Source: RNAcentral